RNAcentral lists this transfer RNA (72 nucleotides) under Camelus bactrianus (Bactrian camel). It matches the Rfam family "tRNA". From Rfam's summary of the family: Transfer RNA (tRNA) molecules are approximately 80 nucleotides in length. Their secondary structure includes four short double-helical elements and three loops (D, anti-codon, and T loops). RNAcentral also lists the same sequence under 2 other names. Lineage: Eukaryota; Metazoa; Chordata; Mammalia; Artiodactyla; Camelidae. The record is from Rfam by way of RNAcentral.
AAGGGUAUAUCUCAGUGGUAGAAUACAUGCCUAGCAUGCAUGAGGUCCUGGCUUCAAUCCCCAGUACCUCCA